UGAUCUAUGAUUGGCUUACAAGUCUCAAGUAUUUAAUAGUGGUCCAAGAGUCAAGACAAUGAAGAAAGGUGUAAAGUACCAAGUUUUUUUAGUGUUUUGGUAAUUUUGUUGGCACUUGAGACUUGAAAGUGGUCUCAUGGAAGAAAGUCAAGAAACUACAUUGUUUCUCAUUAUUGUUAUUUGUUAUUGUUGGCACUUGAAACUUGAAAGUGGUCUCAUGAAAACUACAUUGGUGCAUUAUUGUUACUUGUUA
Long non-coding RNA from Solanum tuberosum (potato), 253 nucleotides. RefSeq lists it as uncharacterized. NCBI's taxonomy places the organism in Eukaryota, Viridiplantae, Streptophyta, Magnoliopsida, Solanales, Solanaceae. The record is from RefSeq and is a predicted model, not a curated record. The transcript is spliced from 2 exons.